This 76-nucleotide transfer RNA is filed under the name Micromonospora krabiensis. RNAcentral describes it as "tRNA_Pseudo_GGT". Lineage: Bacteria; Bacillati; Actinomycetota; Actinomycetes; Micromonosporales; Micromonosporaceae. The record is from RNAcentral.
AAGGGCGUAGCGCACGGGGGAGCGCACCGGUCUGGUGUGACCGGAGGAGCUGGCUUGACACCAGCCGCCCUGACCA